This 166-nucleotide non-coding RNA is filed under the name Tolumonas auensis. RNAcentral describes it as "FMN sequence". It matches the Rfam family "FMN riboswitch aptamer (RFN element)". From Rfam's summary of the family: The RFN element is a highly conserved domain that is found frequently in the 5'-untranslated regions of prokaryotic mRNAs that encode for flavin mononucleotide (FMN) biosynthesis and transport proteins. This element is a metabolite-dependent riboswitch that directly binds FMN in the absence of proteins. The record is from RNAcentral. RNAcentral also lists the same sequence under 1 other name. Lineage: Bacteria; Pseudomonadati; Pseudomonadota; Gammaproteobacteria; Aeromonadales; Aeromonadaceae.
GCAUAUUCUCAGGGCGGGGUGAAAGUCCCCACCGGCGGUAAACAGUCUGAAGAGGUCUUCAACUGAAAGCCCGCGAGCGGUUGAUGCGUUUUAUGACGUAUUGAUGUCAGCAGAUCCGGUGUAAUUCCGGAGCCGACGGUUAUAGUCCGGACGGAAGAGGAUACAA